AGUGAACGCUGGCGGUAGGCCUAACACAUGCAAGUCGAACGGCAGCACAGUAAGAGCUUGCUCUUCCGGGUGGCGAGUGGCGGACGGGUGAGGAAUACAUCGGAAUCUACUUUUUCGUGGGGGAUCACGUAGGUAAACUUACGCUAAUACCGCAUACGACCUACGGUUGAAAGCAUGGGAUCUUCGGACCUUGCGCGAUUGAAUGAGCCGAUGUCGGAUUAGCUAGUUGGCGGGGUAAAGGCCCACCAAGGCGACGAUCCGUAGCUGGUCUGAGAGGAUGAUCAGCCACACUGGAACUGAGACACGGUCCAGACUCCUACGGGAGGCAGCAGUGGGGAAUAUUGGACAAUGGGCGCAAGCCUGAUCCAGCCAUACCGCGUGGGUGAAGAAGGCCUUCGGGUUGUAAAGCCCUUUUGUUGGGAAAGAAAAGCAGCAGGUUAAUACCCCGCUGUUCUGACGGUACCCAAAGAAUAAGCACCGGCUAACUUCGUG
This 492-nucleotide ribosomal RNA is filed under the name uncultured bacterium. RNAcentral describes it as "partial 16S ribosomal RNA". It matches the Rfam family "Bacterial small subunit ribosomal RNA", at positions 29 to 507 of the family's 1533-position model. The record is from RNAcentral.